UACGGAAGGCAGCAGUGAGGAAUAUUGGUCAAUGGGUGCAAGCCUGAACCAGCCAUCCCGCGUGAAGGACGACUGCCCUAUGGGUUGUAAACUUCUUUUGUAUAGGGAUAAACCUACCCUCGUGAGGGUAGCUGAAGGUACUAUACGAAUAAGCACCGGCUAACUCCGUGCCAGCAGCCGCGGUAAUACGGAGGGUGCAAGCGUUAUCCGGAUUUAUUGGGUUUAAAGGGUCCGUAGGCGGACUUAUAAGUCAGUGGUGAAAGCCUGUCGCUUAACGAUAGAACUGCCAUUGAUACUGUAAGUCUUGAGUAUAUUUUGAGGUAGCUGGAAUAAGUAGUGUAGCGGUGAAAUGCAUAGAUAUUACUUAGAACACCAAUUGCGAAAGGCAGGUUACCAAGAUAUAACUGACGCUGAGGGGACGAAAGCGUGGGGAGCGAACAGGGAUUAGAUACC
This 453-nucleotide ribosomal RNA is filed under the name uncultured bacterium. RNAcentral's name for it is "bacterial SSU rRNA". It matches the Rfam family "Bacterial small subunit ribosomal RNA", at positions 340 to 786 of the family's 1533-position model. The record is from RNAcentral.